This 400-nucleotide ribosomal RNA is filed under the name uncultured bacterium. Its description in RNAcentral is "bacterial SSU rRNA". It matches the Rfam family "Bacterial small subunit ribosomal RNA", at positions 355 to 753 of the family's 1533-position model. The record is from RNAcentral.
UGAGGAAUAUUGGUCAAUGGGCGCAAGCCUGAACCAGCCAAGCCGCGUGCAGGAUGAAGGCCCUAUGGGUCGUAAACUGCUUUUAUACGGGAAGAACUCUCCGACGUGUCGGAGGCUGACUGUACCGUAUGAAUAAGCAUCGGCUAACUCCGUGCCAGCAGCCGCGGUAAUACGGAGGAUGCAAGCGUUAUCCGGAUUUAUUAGGUAUAAAGGGUGCGUAGGCGGACUUGUAAGUCAGCGGUGAAAUACUACGGCUUAACCGUAGAACUGCCAUUGAUACUGCAGGUCUUGAGUACAAUUGAGGUAGGCGGAAUGUGUGGUGUAGCGGUGAAAUGCUUAGAUAUCACACAGAACACCGAUUGCGAAGGCAGCUUACUAAGUUGCAACUGACGCUGAUGCA